This 315-nucleotide ribosomal RNA is filed under the name uncultured Vibrio sp. RNAcentral describes it as "bacterial SSU rRNA". It matches the Rfam family "Bacterial small subunit ribosomal RNA", at positions 9 to 320 of the family's 1533-position model. Lineage: Bacteria; Pseudomonadati; Pseudomonadota; Gammaproteobacteria; Vibrionales; Vibrionaceae. The record is from RNAcentral.
CAGUUUGAUCCUGGCUCAGAUUGACCGCUGGCGGCAGUCCUAACACAUGCAAGUCGAGCGGAAACGAGAAGUAGCUUGCUACUUCGGUGUCGAGCGGCGGACGGGUGAGUAAUGCCUAGGAAAUUGCCCUGAUGUGGGGGAUAACCAUUGGAAACGAUGGCUAAUACCGCAUACUGCCAUCGGGCCAAAGCGGGGGACCUUCGGGCCUCUCGCGUCAGGAUGAGCCUAGGUGGGAUUAGCUAGUUGGUGAGGUAAUGGCUCACCAAGGCGACGAUCCGUAGCUGGUCUGAGAGGAUGAUCAGCCACACUGGAAGC